Molecule: ribosomal RNA, 492 nt
Filed under: uncultured bacterium
Lineage: Bacteria
Description: bacterial SSU rRNA
Rfam family: Bacterial small subunit ribosomal RNA
Source: RNAcentral
AAUGAACGCUGGCGGCGUGCCUAACACAUGCAAGUCGGAUGUGCCCGCAAGGGUGCAUGGCAGACGGGUGAGUAACGCGUGGGGAAUCUACCUUUUAGUGGGGAAUAACGCUCCGAAAGGAGUGGUAAUACCGCAUGUGACCAUCGGCUGGGAUGCUGAUGGUGAAACCCUGGGACCUUCGGGCCAGGGGCUAGAAGAGGAUCCUGCGUCUGAUUAGCUAGUUGGCGGGUAACGGCCACCAAGGCGACGAUCAGUAGCCGGCCUGAGAGGGUGAUCGGCCACACUGGAACUGAGACACGGUCCAGACUCCUACGGGAGGCAGCAGUGGGGAAUUUUGCGCAAUGGACGAAAGUCUGACGCAGCAACGCCGCGUGGGUGAUGAAGGUCUUCGGAUGUAAAACCCUGUCGCCAGGGACGAAGGUGGGGCGUGAAUAGCGUUCGUACUUUGACGGUACCUGGAAGGAAGCCCCGGCUAACGUCUGUGCCAGCAGC